RNAcentral lists this ribosomal RNA (492 nucleotides) under uncultured bacterium. RNAcentral describes it as "partial 16S ribosomal RNA". It matches the Rfam family "Bacterial small subunit ribosomal RNA", at positions 29 to 507 of the family's 1533-position model. The record is from RNAcentral.
AGUGAACGCUGGCGGUAGGCCUAACACAUGGAAGUCGAACGGCAGCACAGUAAGAGCUUGCUCUUACGGGUGGCGAGUGGCGGACGGGUGAGGAAUACAUCGGAAUCUACUUUUUCGUGGGGGAUAACGUAGGGAAACUUACGCUAAUACCGCAUACGACCUACGGGUGAAAGCAAGGGAUCUUCGGACCUUGCGCGAUUGAAUGAGCCGAUGUCGGAUUAGCUAGUUGGCGGGGUAAAGGCCCACCAAGGCGACGAUCCGUAGCUGGUCUGAGAGGAUGAUCAGCCACACUGGAACUGAGACACGGUCCAGACUCCUACGGGAGGCAGCAGUGGGGAAUAUUGGACAAUGGGCGCAAGCCUGAUCCAGCCAUACCGCGUGGGUGAAGAAGGCCUUCGGGUUGUAAAGCCCUUUUGUUGGGAAAGAAAAGCAGCAGGUUAAUACCCCGCUGUUCUGACGGUACCCAAAGAAUAAGCACCGGCUAACUUCGUG